RNAcentral lists this ribosomal RNA (723 nucleotides) under uncultured bacterium. RNAcentral's name for it is "bacterial SSU rRNA". It matches the Rfam family "Bacterial small subunit ribosomal RNA", at positions 789 to 1515 of the family's 1533-position model. The record is from RNAcentral.
GGUAGUCUCGGCCCUAAAACGAUGAUCACUAGGUGUCGGGGGGUUUCCCUCGGUGCCGCAGCUAACGCAUUAAGUGAUCCGCCUGGGGACUACGGCCGCAAGGUUGAAACUCAAAGGAAUUGGCGGGGGCCCGCACAAGCGGUGGAGCAUAUGGCUUAAUUCGAUGCAACGCGAAGAACCUUACCCAGGCUUGACAUGUACCUGCAAGCUCCCCAAAAGGAGCCGCUCUCGAAGGUGGUACACAGGUGGUGCAUGGCUGUCGUCAGCUCGUGUUGUGAAAUGUUGGGUUAAGUCCCGCAACGAGCGCAACCCUCAUGUUAUGUUGCCAGCGAGUAAUGUCGGGAACUCGUAACAAACUGCCUAUGUAAAUAGGAGGAAGGUGGGGAUGACGUCAAGUCAUCAUGCCCCUUACGCCUGGGGCUGCACAUAUGCUACAAUGGAUGCUACAAACGGUCGCGAACCCGCGAGGGCGAGCUAAUCUGAAAAAAGCAUUCUCAGUUCGGAUUGGAGUCUGCAGCUCGACUCCAUGAAGCCGGAAUCGCUAGUAACCGCAGGUCAGCAUUACUGCGGUGAAUACGUUCCCGGGCCUUGCACACACCGCCCGUCACGUGACGAAAGUUGGUUUUGCCCGAAGUCGUUGAGCUAACCGCAAGGAAGCAGACGCCGAAGGUAAAGCCGAUGAUUGGCGCGAAGUCGUAACAAGGUAGCCGUAUCGGAAGGUGC